CAGCAGUAGCCACGGUAAUACGUAGGUGGCAAGCGUUGUCCGGAAUUAUUGGGCGUAAAGCGCGCGCAGGUGGUUUAAUAAGUCUGAUGUGAAAGCCCACGGCUCAACCGUGGAGGGUCAUUGGAAACUGUUAAACUUGAGUGCAGGAGAGAAAAGUGGAAUUCCUAGUGUAGCGGUGAAAUGCGUAGAGAUUAGGAGGAACACCAGUGGCGAAGGCGGCUUUUUGGCCUGUAACUGACACUGAGGCGCGAAAGCGUGGGGAGCAAACAGGAUUAGAUACCCGUGUAGUCCCUGUCUCUUAUAC
RNAcentral lists this ribosomal RNA (304 nucleotides) under uncultured bacterium. RNAcentral describes it as "partial 16S ribosomal RNA". It matches the Rfam family "Bacterial small subunit ribosomal RNA", at positions 506 to 807 of the family's 1533-position model. The record is from RNAcentral.